Molecule: transfer RNA, 76 nt
Filed under: Streptococcus sp.
Lineage: Bacteria; Bacillati; Bacillota; Bacilli; Lactobacillales; Streptococcaceae
Also listed under: 1 other name
Description: tRNA-Arg
Rfam family: tRNA
About the family: Transfer RNA (tRNA) molecules are approximately 80 nucleotides in length. Their secondary structure includes four short double-helical elements and three loops (D, anti-codon, and T loops).
Source: RNAcentral
CUCGUCAUAGUUCAAUCGGAUAGAACAUAUGCCUCCUAAGCGUAUAAUCCCAGUUCAAGUCUGGGUGGCGAGUCCA